GGUAAUUUUCUGCUGCGAGUCAGAUGGAAGGACUUCAUUUGACUGAGUAUCCCCCUCUAGUUCUUUACACUGCUUUCUUGUUAAAACCAUUUGUAAGAGCUUCUGUUUGCUUCCGUUUGCUACGGAACGCAGAGCAGGCCACUCCCCAGGUGCAGUGAGUAAGAAUAGCUAAUUUACAACCUUGCAAAAAUAGGAGACUUGCCGAAAGCAAACAUUCCAAAAGAGGGAAAAUAAGGGAAUGUCUGAUAGACAAAAGGCAGCUGACUGGCUAAAAUUACUGACCUUUCUCAUCCAGUUAAAACAAUUGUUUGGGAGAAGAAUAAGCGAGCUGUGUACCUGUCGCCAUCUUAAGCUCGAGUCCGGUUUGAAACUGGAGCUGAGCAGAGCAGAGGCAAGCCAGAGGCCUCCGAGUCUGACCCACAGCCUCCUCUCCAUCCCAGAGCUCAGCCUGCCUGCCACCUCUUUCAUCCCUCAUGAAGAAGCAGGAGGAAUUCAAGAAAGCCCAGGUUUACUGAGAGUAUUUGUGUCUGGAGUUGUCGGCGCUCAGAUCAUACGGCUGCAUUUUGGGGCUUAAACGUCUGGAGCCUGCUCUGAUUCCAGCAUCCAGUGCUUGACCCCACCCACCUGAAGUGCAGAACAGGAUCCGUGAAGGCCUCCGUCAGUAGGGGAAACUGAGGCUCAGAUUCCAGAGAAGUCACUGGCAAUAGGCUGAGUGCUUUUGGCAAGCCUGUCAUCCUCAGCUCUUCAUCUGUGAAACGGUAAGAUUAAGGACCAGCCCUCAAGGGCUGCUUUGAGGAUGGAUGGAAUGAAAUUAGGAAUGGAGAACAAUCAUCUGCUACCAGCAAGUCUGCAUCCUCAACACUUCACCCAGCCAGGAUUUUACAGAAGCAAAUUAAACACCAGGAAGUUUCAGAAUAAUAAUUGACCCCAACAGUGGAAUAACACCAUCCACACAGGACUACCUCCGAUUGAACAUAAAACUACCGUGGCAGAAAUAUGAACCCUUCAUCAUUAACAAUAUAUCUUUCCUCGUGGCAUCUACAGAGUAAACCAGUGGGAAAAUGUUACUUUAAGCAUAAGGUUCUCCCUUCUUUUCGAUGGUGGCCGGUCAGAGUCCUGUAAGAUGCUCACAAACAGAACUGGAAGGCAGUUGCCCUCUUUUGCAAUCACUGCUCCCUCCUCAGCUGAUCUUCAGUGGCAUACUCAACAACCCUGGAUAGAUGUGUCCUUCAUAAAUGGAGCCAAUCCUCUUUCUAAAACCCAGCUAAGUUGCUAGCCAUCACCACAUCUUGUGGCGGUGAAUUCCAUACGCUCAUUAUGUGUUUGUACAAACAAGUCCUUCCUAUGGCCUGUCCCAAACCACCUGCCAAUCAUUUCCAUUUAGCAAGUGACCAUAAGAGCGUAACAUUCCAAAACAG
This is a long non-coding RNA of Rhineura floridana, 1418 nucleotides long. RefSeq lists it as uncharacterized. The record is from RefSeq and is a predicted model, not a curated record. The transcript is spliced from 3 exons. NCBI's taxonomy places the organism in Eukaryota, Metazoa, Chordata, Lepidosauria, Squamata, Rhineuridae.